Molecule: transfer RNA, 86 nt
Filed under: Mycoplasma mycoides subsp. capri str. GM12
Lineage: Bacteria; Bacillati; Mycoplasmatota; Mollicutes; Mycoplasmatales; Mycoplasmataceae
Description: tRNA-Tyr
Rfam family: tRNA
About the family: Transfer RNA (tRNA) molecules are approximately 80 nucleotides in length. Their secondary structure includes four short double-helical elements and three loops (D, anti-codon, and T loops). Further hydrogen bonds mediate the characteristic L-shaped molecular structure. tRNAs have two regions of fundamental functional importance: the anti-codon, which is responsible for specific mRNA codon recognition, and the 3' end, to which the tRNAs corresponding amino acid is attached (by aminoacyl-tRNA synthetases). tRNAs cope with the degeneracy of the genetic code in two manners: having more than one tRNA (with a specific anti-codon) for a particular amino acid; and 'wobble' base-pairing, i.e. permitting non-standard base-pairing at the 3rd anti-codon position.
Source: RNAcentral
UGGAGGGGUAGCGAAGUGGCUAAACGCGGGUGGCUGUAACCCACUUCCUUACGGUUCGGGGGUUCGAAUCCCUCCCCCUCCACCAU